This 419-nucleotide ribosomal RNA is filed under the name uncultured bacterium. Its description in RNAcentral is "bacterial SSU rRNA". It matches the Rfam family "Bacterial small subunit ribosomal RNA", at positions 64 to 507 of the family's 1533-position model. The record is from RNAcentral.
GAACGCUCUUGCGGUUUCGGCCGCAAGGGAGUGGCGGACGGGUGAGUAGCGCGUGGGAACCUGCCCCUUUGUGGGGGAUAACCGAGGGAAACUUCGGCUAAUACCGCAUGCGCCCGCGGGGGAGACCUUGCGGGGAAAGAUUUAUCGCAGAGGGAGGGGCCCGCGUCGGAUUAGGUAGUUGGUGGGGUAACGGCCUACCAAGCCGGUGAUCCGUAGCUGGUCUGAGAGGAUGAUCAGCCUCACUGGGACUGAGACACGGCCCAGACUCCUACGGGAGGCAGCAGUGGGGAAUAUUGGACAAUGGGCGCAAGCCUGAUCCAGCCAUGCCGCGUGGGUGAUGAAGGCCCUAGGGUUGUAAAGCCCUUUCGGCGGGGAAGAUAAUGACGGUACCCGCAGAAGAAGCCCCGGCUAACUUCGUG